AGUGAACGCUGGCGGUAGGCCUAACACAUGCAAGUCGAACGGCAGCACAGUAAGAGCUUGCUCUUACGGGUGGCGAGUGGCGGACGGGUGAGGAAUACAUCGGAAUCUACUUUUUCGUGGGGGAUAACGUAGGGAAACUUACGCUAAUACCGCAUACGACCUACGGGUGAAAGCAGGGGAUCUUCGGACCUUGCGCGAUUGAAUGAGCCGAUGUCGGAUUAGCUAGUUGGCGGGGUAAAGGCCCACCAAGGCGACGAUCCGUAGCUGGUCUGAGAGGAUGAUAGGCCACACUGGAACUGAGACACGGUCCAGACUCCUACGGGAGGCAGCAGUGGGGAAUAUUGGACAGUGGGCGCAAGCCUGAUCCAGCCAGACCGCGUGGGUGAAGAAGGCCUUCGGGUUGUAAAGCCCUUUUGUUGGGAGAGAAAAGCAGCAGGUUAAUACCCCGCUGUUCUGACGGUACCCAAAGAAUAAGCACCGGCUAACUUCGUG
Molecule: ribosomal RNA, 492 nt
Filed under: uncultured bacterium
Lineage: Bacteria
Description: partial 16S ribosomal RNA
Rfam family: Bacterial small subunit ribosomal RNA
Source: RNAcentral